AUGACUCUCGGCAACGGAUAUCUCGGCUCUCGCAUCGAUGAAGAACGUAACGAAAUGCGAUACUUGGUGUGAAUUGCAGAAUCCCGUGAACCAUCGAGUCUUUGAACGCAAGUUGCGCCCGAAACCAUUAGGUUGAGGGCACGCCUGCCUGGGUGUCACGC
RNAcentral lists this ribosomal RNA (161 nucleotides) under Lotus uliginosus. RNAcentral describes it as "5.8S ribosomal RNA". It matches the Rfam family "5.8S ribosomal RNA". Rfam says of the family: 5.8S ribosomal RNA (5.8S rRNA) is a component of the large subunit of the eukaryotic ribosome. It is transcribed by RNA polymerase I as part of the 45S precursor that also contains 18S and 28S rRNA. Lineage: Eukaryota; Viridiplantae; Streptophyta; Magnoliopsida; Fabales; Fabaceae. The record is from RNAcentral.